UGGGGAAUAUCGCACAAUGGGCGCAAGCCUGAUGCAGCCAUGCCGCGUGUGUGAAGAAGGCCUUCGGGUUGUAAAGCACUUUCAGCGAGGAGGAAGGUGGUGAACUUAAUACGUUCAUCAAUUGACGUUACUCGCAGAAGAAGCACCGGCUAACUCCGUGCCAGCAGCCGCGGUAAUACGGAGGGUGCAAGCGUUAAUCGGAAUUACUGGGCGUAAAGCGCACGCAGGCGGUUUGUUAAGUCAGAUGUGAAAUCCCCGGGCUCAACCUGGGAACUGCAUUUGAAACUGGCAAGCUAGAGUCUCGUAGAGGGGGGUAGAAUUCCAGGUGUAGCGGUGAAAUGCGUAGAGAUCUGGAGGAAUACCGGUGGCGAAGGCGGCCCCCUGGACGAAGACUGACGCUCAGGUGCGAAAGCGUGGGGCAGCAAACAGGAUUAGAUACCCUGGUAGUCCACGCUGUAAACGAUGUCGAUUUGGAGGUUGUGCCCUUGAGGCGUGGCUUCCGGAGCUAACGCGUUAAAUCGACCGCCUGGGGAGUACGGCCGCAAGGUUAAAACUUAAAUGAAUUG
RNAcentral lists this ribosomal RNA (566 nucleotides) under uncultured bacterium. RNAcentral's name for it is "partial 16S ribosomal RNA". It matches the Rfam family "Bacterial small subunit ribosomal RNA", at positions 355 to 912 of the family's 1533-position model. The record is from RNAcentral.